AGCACACAACUUGUGGUGGCGCGACAGGAGGAGAGACGCACGUCUUGCAGCCCCGGGUGCCAAGAAAACCCCUCUCCUCCUUCCUAGAUACACUCAGGAGGUUAUAGUGGCUUCGUUUCUCCACGUCUUUCCAAAAUACAGAACACACACACGCAAAAUCUGGCAAACGGUUUGAAUAAAUUAGAAAUGUUUUCUGCUAACCCUAACCUUCCCUUACCUUAGACAUAAAGCUGUAAGGUAUUGCUGUAUGUUUUAUAAGCUUAUUCCUGAAAACGUGGCUUUAGGUAAUAAGGAGGAAUGUCAAAGCAUAAGUAGGGGAAACAAUGAGAAAUAUAGGGGGUGGAAGGUUGCUGCUCUUUCUCCCCUUAAUGUUCCUUUUCAGCCUAUUAUGUCAAUAAUAACAAUGAUAACAACAACAAUAGCAACAAUCCAGUCUGUUGUGUGUUCCUCUUGCAAAUGUUUUAUCUGGAGAGCAGAAAUCGAAGCGUUUAGAUUUUGUUGCAGUACUCCAGCUGAGAAAAUUAAACCCUAAUACAUUCGAAAAGAAAAGAACAAGGAUCUCCGAAGUUUUUUUUAAUGACCUUUCCGUGCAUAAUUUCGGAGGUAACCUAGCUGCAUAAUUAUAUUUGCACUUACAGAACGCUGCAUCACAGUUCCCUUAUUGGUUUGAAAUUCCAUUAAAUAUAUUGCAGGAGCUCCUAGGUUAAGCUUGAUUUAAAUUUGCAUACAUUUUCAUAUAUUUAGCAGAAAUAAAAGAAGGGCUUGCAGCUACCCGAAAGUCAUUAAGGCAUUAAGUUCUCCAGGAAGACAGAUCUGGAGAAAAAUUCAAGAAAAUGAAAAUAUCGCCCUAAACAAGGAUCAAAGGAAGACACCUUACACUGAAUCAGAUUAUUGGCCCAUCUAGCUCAGUAUUGUCUACAUUGACUGCCAGCUGCUGUUCAGGGCUCCAUGGAAAUACUGGGGAUUGAAAUUGGGACCUUCUGAAUGCAAAGAAGACCUCCUAUCAUUGAGCUAUGGUCCUUCCUGGAUAGGCCACAAUCUCCAUACUGCUGACACAGUAACUAGCUCUGAGGAAAAGGCAAGGAAGGCCCAAGGAAGUUUGCUGUUCAAUAAAGGAUGCUGGGUUGCUUGGCAACCAAUCGUUAGGCCCAAUGGUGCAACCAGCCAGCCAGGCAUUCCAAACUGGCUGCUUCCAUCGCCUUAUGUCCUAACACA
Non-coding RNA from Zootoca vivipara (common lizard), 1215 nucleotides. NCBI's taxonomy places the organism in Eukaryota, Metazoa, Chordata, Lepidosauria, Squamata, Lacertidae. The record is from RefSeq and is a predicted model, not a curated record.